RNAcentral lists this ribosomal RNA (253 nucleotides) under uncultured bacterium. RNAcentral's name for it is "partial 16S ribosomal RNA". It matches the Rfam family "Bacterial small subunit ribosomal RNA", at positions 524 to 776 of the family's 1533-position model. The record is from RNAcentral. RNAcentral also lists the same sequence under 1 other name.
UACGAGUGCCUCAAGCGUUAUCCGGAAUCAUUGGGCGUAAAGGAUGUGUAGGUGGUUGUGUUAGUCUUGUGUUAAAUUCUUCGGCUUAACCGGGGGCAUGCACGGGAAACGGCACGACUAGAGGAUGCGAGGGGUCUGCGGAACUCAUAGUGUAGCGGUGAAAUGCGUUGAUAUUAUGGGGAACACCAAAAGCGAAGGCAGCAGACUGGAGCACUCCUGACACUGAAACAUGAAAGCGUGGGUCGCGAAUGGG